Molecule: ribosomal RNA, 511 nt
Filed under: uncultured bacterium
Lineage: Bacteria
Description: bacterial SSU rRNA
Rfam family: Bacterial small subunit ribosomal RNA
Source: RNAcentral
GAUGAACGCUAGCGGCAGGCUUAACACAUGCAAGUCGAGGGGCAGCAUAUUUGGUAGUAAUACUAAGUGAUGGCGACCGGCGCACGGGUGCGUAACGCGUAUGCAACCUACCAUAUACAGGGGGAUAACCUUUCGAAAGGGAGCCUAAUACCCCAUAGUAUUGUUUUUUGGCAUCAAGAAGCAAUUAAAGAUUUAUUGGUAUAUGAUGGGCAUGCGUGCCAUUAGCUAGUUGGCGAGGUAACGGCUCACCAAGGCUACGAUGGCUAGGGGUUCUGAGAGGAAGAUCCCCCAACUGGUACUGAGACACGGACCAGACUCCUACGGGAGGCAGCAGUGAGGAAUAUUGGUCAAUGGGCGGAAGCCUGGAACCAGCCAUGCCGCGUGCGGGAUGAAGGCCCUACGGGUUGUAAACCGCUUUUCCCCGGGAAGAAUAACCCCGAUGAGUCGGGGAUGCCGGUACCGGGGGAUAAGGAUCGGCUAACUCCGUGCCAGCAGCCGCGGUAAGCAUACG